Jaculus jaculus (lesser Egyptian jerboa) is the source of this 1482-nucleotide long non-coding RNA. RefSeq lists it as uncharacterized. The transcript is spliced from 3 exons. Lineage: Eukaryota; Metazoa; Chordata; Mammalia; Rodentia; Dipodidae. The record is from RefSeq and is a predicted model, not a curated record.
CGGGGCCCCGCGGAGGGGCCCGGCUUUGUGGAGGAUUAGAGUCUACCGCCCCACCCCACUACCUGCGUGUGUUUCGGUGCUGGAAUUCUGCGUGUGCGCCAUCACCAGCCUUGGAUACUGUGCUGGUGUGUAAGUAACCGUGAGUCACAAAUCAUUCAUCAUUCCUGUCUCUUCAUCUCAUCAGGAGGCAUUGUGUCAAGCCAUGUCAUUACAAGGACAGUACAGAAGGAACGGACAAAGAGGCAUACUUCUUGGACGAGUCUGUGAGGGCGUUCCCAGGAAGGACUGAUGGAGGGGUAGACCUUCCCGCAGGGUGAGCAGCCAUUCCCAUGAUGCAUCUAUAAAGACGCCCCCAGAGAACACUGAGCCUUUCGCCUGCUACUCGCCCGUGUGUGCACGCACCUACCGCCUUGCUGCUAACCUUCUCCCACACCGGGACCGGCUUCCUUGGCCUUCCACACGGACUGAAGACCGGCAGCUCUUCAGGAAUCCUCCAGGCUUUCAGAGCCAGGUUGGGACUGCUAAAGCCCCCAGCCUUGUGGACUGAGCAGCUACUGGGUUCCCCGCCUCUCCAGUCUGCAGGCAGCUAUGUUAUUGAACUGCCCAGCCCGCAGGCUGUAAUCUAACCUGCUAACUCCCCUUUAUACCUCAUGUUUCUUCUAUUGGUUCUGUUCCUGUAGAGAGCCCUGACUAACACAGCUUGUAUGUAUGUGUAUAUACCAACAUGGAAUCGUACUGCUUUGUGAACUAUUGCACUUGGAUGUAAGUCAAAUGCAUCACAAAGAUAUAUGUACAUACAGCAGUUAUUUGUAAUGGCUGCAGGCAGUCAGUGUUUUGUUGUACUGUCAGAUGCUUCCCGAGUUGUUGUUUUGUUGUUGUGUGUGUCUGUGUAGUGUGUGCAUGUGUGUGUAGAUGUGUGAGUCCCAUGCACAUGUAUGCAGUGGUCAGAGGAGAACAGCAGUGUCCUCCUCGGUCACUCUCCGGCUUUAUUUCCAUGAGGUGGCGUUUCACUGAGCCUGGAGUUGCCAUUUUGGUUGGACUAGGUGAUCAGCAAGCCACAGUGAUUCUCCUAUCUCUGCCCCACCUCAGGACUGGGGAUACGGAUACGUGUGGCCACAACUGGCCUUUUAUGUAGGUGCUGGGGAUGGAACUCAUGGUUGUGUGGCAAGAGUUUCUACCCAGUGAGCCAUCUCUCCAGUUCCUCAGGGUUUUUUUGUACAAACACUAGUGGGAUGGCCUCUUCUAUACCUGUGUAUCUCAUCCUUGCUCACCAGCUUCUAAGGGACCAUCACAGAACCUAUGUUAAAAAUAUUUUACUUAUUUAUUUAUUUGACCUGCAAAUGAACUCCAGACGUGUGUACCACCUUGUGCACCUGGCUUAUGUGGAUUCUGGGGAAUCAAACCUGGGUCCUUUAGCUAUGUAGGCAAGCACCUUAACCACCAAGCCAUCGCUCCAGGCCAGAACCUAUGCUUUAAAGAUUA